CCUACGGGCGACUGCAGUGAGGAAUAUUGGUCAAUGGACGAGAGUCUGAACCAGCCAAGUAGCGUGAAGGAUGACUGCCCUAUGGGUUGUAAACUUCUUUUAUAUGGGAAUAAAACGUUCCACGUGUGGGAUUUUGUAUGUACCAUAUGAAUAAGGAUCGGCUAACUCCGUGCCAGCAGCCGCGGUAAUACGGAGGAUCCGAGCGUUAUCCGGAUUUAUUGGGUUUAAAGGGAGCGUAGGUGGAUUGUUAAGUCAGUUGUGAAAGUUUGCGGCUCAACCGUAAAAUUGCAGUUGAAACUGGCAGUCUUGAGUACAGUAGAGGUGGGCGGAAUUCGUGGUGUAGCGGUGAAAUGCUUAGAUAUCACGAAGAACUCCGAUUGCGAAGGCAGUUCACUGGACUGCAACUGACACUGAGGCUCGAAAGUGUGGGUAUCAAACAGGAUUAGAUACCCUGGUAGUC
Molecule: ribosomal RNA, 460 nt
Filed under: uncultured bacterium
Lineage: Bacteria
Description: partial 16S ribosomal RNA
Rfam family: Bacterial small subunit ribosomal RNA
Source: RNAcentral